This 477-nucleotide ribosomal RNA is filed under the name Streptococcus sp. oral taxon 064. RNAcentral's name for it is "bacterial SSU rRNA". It matches the Rfam family "Bacterial small subunit ribosomal RNA", at positions 28 to 489 of the family's 1533-position model. Lineage: Bacteria; Bacillati; Bacillota; Bacilli; Lactobacillales; Streptococcaceae. The record is from RNAcentral.
GACGUACGCUGGCGGCGUGCCUAAUACAUGCAAGUAGACGCUGAAGGGAGGAGCUUGCUCUUCUGGAUGAGUUGCGAACGGGUGAGUCACGCGUAGGUAACCUGCCUGGUAGCGGGGGAUAACUAUUGGAAACGAUAGCUAAUACCGCAUAACAGUAGAUGUCGCAUGACAUUUGCUUAAAAGGUGCAAUUGCAUCACUACCAGAUGGACCUGCGUUGUAUUAGCUAGUUGGUGAGGUAACGGCUCACCAAGGCAACGAUACAUAGCCGACCUGAGAGGGUGAUCGGCCACACUGGGACUGAGACACGGCCCAGACUCCUACGGGAGGCAGCAGUAGGGAAUCUUCGGCAAUGGACGGAAGUCUGACCGAGCAACGCCGCGUGAGUGAAGAAGGUUUUCGGAUCGUAAAGCUCUGUUGUAAGAGAAGAACGAGUGUGAGAGUGGAAAGUUCACACUGUGACGGUAUCUUACCAGAAA